Molecule: small nuclear RNA, 133 nt
Filed under: Ophiocordyceps sinensis
Lineage: Eukaryota; Fungi; Ascomycota; Sordariomycetes; Hypocreales; Ophiocordycipitaceae
Also listed under: 1 other name
Description: U4 spliceosomal RNA
Rfam family: U4 spliceosomal RNA
About the family: U4 small nuclear RNA (U4 snRNA) is a component of the major U2-dependent spliceosome. The structure of U4 snRNA from yeast and human has been reported.
Source: Rfam by way of RNAcentral
AUCCCAGUGCACGGGCGUUUUCCUUCUCCCUGAAGCGAUAAGCUGAGAGAGGAAUUUUGCUAGUUGAAAACUACAACAGGACCACUCCUCAUUGGGUUCGCCCGGUAAGGGAAUUUUUGGACAAUCACAUGUU